Molecule: ribosomal RNA, 486 nt
Filed under: uncultured Gammaproteobacteria bacterium
Lineage: Bacteria; Pseudomonadati; Pseudomonadota; Gammaproteobacteria
Description: bacterial SSU rRNA
Rfam family: Bacterial small subunit ribosomal RNA
Source: RNAcentral
AGAGUUUGAUCCUGGCUCAGAUUGAACGCUGGCGGCAGGCUUAACACAUGCAAGUCGAACGAUGACUCUCUAGCUUGCUAGAGAUGAUUAGUGGCGGACGGGUGAGUAACAUUUAGGAAUCUACCUAGUAGUGGGGGAUAGCUCGGGGAAACUCGAAUUAAUACCGCAUACGACCUACGGGUGAAAGGGGGCGCAAGCUCUUGCUAUUAGAUGAGCCUAAAUCAGAUUAGCUAGUUGGCGGGGUAAAGGCCCACCAAGGCGACGAUCUGUAACUGGUCUGAGAGGAUGAUCAGUCACACCGGAACUGAGACACGGUCCGGACUCCUACGGGAGGCAGCAGUGGGGAAUAUUGGACAAUGGGGGCAACCCUGAUCCAGCCAUGCCGCGUGUGUGAAGAAGGCCUUUUGGUUGUAAGGCACUUUAAGCAGGGAGGAGAGGCUAAUGGUUAAUACCCAUUAGAUUAGACGUUACCUGCAGAAUAAGCAC